AAAGUAGACCGGACGGUCGCCUCAAGGUGCUACGGUACUUUGCGGAGGAAAGUCCGAACUCCAAAGGACAGGGCGGUCGCUAACGGCGACUUCGAGUGAUCGGAGGAAAGUGCCACAGAAAAUAGACUGUCUCGAAUUUUCGGGAUGAUGGUGAAAAGGUGGGGUAAGAGCCCACCGCCCCGGUGGUGACAUUCGGGGGCAUGGUAAACCCCGCCCGGAGCAAGACCAAAUAGGUUCCGUGUUUCCCGCUUUUUGGGAAAAAAGAGUUGUCCGCUCAAUUCGCUCUGCGUAACGGAAUGGGUAGGUUGCUUGACCCCGUCAGCAAUGGCGAGGCUAGAUAAAUGACCGUCACCCCGAUUUUGGGGAUACAGAAUUCGGCUUACAGGCCUACUUUGGAU
This 398-nucleotide RNase P RNA is filed under the name Calditrichota bacterium. Its description in RNAcentral is "Calditrichaeota bacterium RNase P RNA component class A". It matches the Rfam family "Bacterial RNase P class A". Rfam says of the family: Ribonuclease P (RNase P) is a ubiquitous endoribonuclease, found in archaea, bacteria and eukarya as well as chloroplasts and mitochondria. Its best characterised activity is the generation of mature 5'-ends of tRNAs by cleaving the 5'-leader elements of precursor-tRNAs. Lineage: Bacteria; Pseudomonadati; Calditrichota. The record is from RNAcentral.